This 30-nucleotide unclassified non-coding RNA is filed under the name Orthobunyavirus lacrosseense. Its description in RNAcentral is "RNA (5'-R(P*AP*UP*AP*GP*AP*UP*AP*AP*CP*GP*UP*U)-3') from Orthobunyavirus lacrosseense (PDB 7ORI, chain P)". The record is from RNAcentral. Lineage: Riboviria; Orthornavirae; Negarnaviricota; Bunyaviricetes; Elliovirales; Peribunyaviridae.
AGUAGUGUACUACCAAGUAUAGAUAACGUU